Molecule: long non-coding RNA, 127 nt
Organism: Erigeron canadensis
Lineage: Eukaryota; Viridiplantae; Streptophyta; Magnoliopsida; Asterales; Asteraceae
Exons: 3
Source: RefSeq, a predicted model, not a curated record
GGUUGGUUUGUUCAACUGGGUUGAAGAAGAAAAGCAACUAAAAAGGAUUUAUGAACAAACUGUGUGAUAUGGUUAUGGGUGAGCUUGAUCAGAAUCCUUUUAUCGAUGCUGGUGACUCACUUAUCUC